CUUUAAGUAUUCAGUAGAAUAUACUUAUGAAUCAAUUUGACCCUGUUUUUUUUCCCUCUUAGGAAAUUCAUUGAGUGCUUGUUCAAUAUCUUUCUCUGAGGAAAGACUGUGAAAAACUGGAGAAUAUUCAGAGAAGAGAAACUAAGUGGAAGUGACAAGAAAAAAACCACUGUGGUCUGUAGAAUUAAGGAACAAAAUGGUGGCUUCCUAUUGGAGAAUGGAUACACAAAUGGUGGAAUUUGAAUAUAAUGGAAUAUUAUUGUGCUAGAAGAAAUGAUGAAAUGAUAAUUUGAGAAAAUAGGGUAAAUCUUUAUGAACCUACACAAAACAAAGUGAGGAAAAAUUUUAAAAAUCAACUUUGAAAUUUGAUUAACAUAAUUAUAGAUGAGUCCAGACAAAUGAAGAUGAAAUAUACUGUCAUAGAAAUAUGAUCAUUUUAAGAUAUAGCAAGAAACAUGUUUAACAUGGAUAAUAGGGAGAUUUAAUAUUUACUGAAUUAUGUAAGCACAUACACACAUAUUGCUUAUUGUAAAAGAAUGGAGUUUAGAUGAACAAAAAGUAUAUGUUGCUUGACAAACGUCAAGCAUACUAUAAAAAGUGCAUUUUAUAAAGUAAAAAGAAUUACAUUGUAGAAACUAUUUGAGGAGAGGUAUUCUAGAUGUGUUAGUCAAAAUAGACCAGAAAUGGGAAAGAUAAAGCAGAAAGAGCAGUUAUGAGAAGACAGCUGCUUUAAUAUAGAUAUGAUAUGAUAAAUUAGUGGAAAGAAAGAGAAAUGUGAAUAUGUAAAGGAACAAGAAGUGUAUGAAAAGACAGUGGAUGUAGAACUUGAAACGAGAGUUUUUUACUGCUAAUUAACUAUGUUGUUUCAAAUCCAUCCCUACCACUUACCAACUACAUGAUGAUAUGAUAGGAAGUCACUUAACCACUUUUGCCCUGCCUCAGUUUCCUCCUCUUUAAAAUGAAGGUUGGACUGAGAGUUUUCUAAAAAUUACUUCUACCUUUACAUGGUUUUCAACCUCAUUACUUAGUUGAAAUGGUUCUCUUCCAAGCCACUAAUGUUUUCUUAAUCAAGAAUACUACUGGCCUCUUCUGAGUUCAAAUCCUCCUUAAUUUCUCUACAGUAUUUGUCAUUUUUUUGGGUCACGUGCCCAAAAGGAGAGUGAACAAAUGUGAA
This 1174-nucleotide long non-coding RNA is filed under the name Monodelphis domestica (gray short-tailed opossum). RNAcentral describes it as "lncRNA (ENSMODG00000047809.1)". The record is from RNAcentral. Lineage: Eukaryota; Metazoa; Chordata; Mammalia; Didelphimorphia; Didelphidae.